This 989-nucleotide ribosomal RNA is filed under the name Acinetobacter sp. RNAcentral's name for it is "bacterial SSU rRNA". It matches the Rfam family "Bacterial small subunit ribosomal RNA", at positions 72 to 1055 of the family's 1533-position model. Lineage: Bacteria; Pseudomonadati; Pseudomonadota; Gammaproteobacteria; Moraxellales; Moraxellaceae. The record is from RNAcentral.
GAUAGUGCUUGCACUAUCACUUAGCGGCGGACGGGUGAGUAAUGCUUAGGAAUCUGCCUAUUAGUGGGGGACAACAUUUCGAAAGGAAUGCUAAUACCGCAUACGUCCUACGGGAGAAAGCAGGGGAUCUUCGGACCUUGCGCUAAUAGAUGAGCCUAAGUCGGAUUAGCUAGUUGGUGGGGUAAAGGCCUACCAAGGCGACGAUCUGUAGCGGGUCUGAGAGGAUGAUCCGCCACACUGGGACUGAGACACGGCCCAGACUCCUACGGGAGGCAGCAGUGGGGAAUAUUGGACAAUGGGCGCAAGCCUGAUCCAGCCAUGCCGCGUGUGUGAAGAAGGCCUUAUGGUUGUAAAGCACUUUAAGCGAGGAGGAGGCUACUUUAGUUAAUACCUAGAGAUAGUGGACGUUACUCGCAGAAUAAGCACCGGCUAACUCUGUGCCAGCAGCCGCGGUAAUACAGAGGGUGCAAGCGUUAAUCGGAUUUACUGGGCGUAAAGCGCGCGUAGGCGGCUAAAUUAAGUCAAAUGUGAAAUCCCCGAGCUUAACUUGGGAAUUGCAUUCGAUACUGGUUAGCUAGAGUGUGGGAGAGGAUGGUAGAAUUCCAGGUGUAGCGGUGAAAUGCGUAGAGAUCUGGAGGAAUACCGAUGGCGAAGGCAGCCAUCUGGCCUAACACUGACGCUGAGGUGCGAAAGCAUGGGGAGCAAACAGGAUUAGAUACCCUGGUAGUCCAUGCCGUAAACGAUGUCUACUAGCCGUUGGGGCCUUUGAGGCUUUAGUGGCGCAGCUAACGCGAUAAGUAGACCGCCUGGGGAGUACGGUCGCAAGACUAAAACUCAAAUGAAUUGACGGGGGCCCGCACAAGCGGUGGAGCAUGUGGUUUAAUUCGAUGCAACGCGAAGAACCUUACCUGGCCUUGACAUAGUAAGAACUUUCCAGAGAUGGAUUGGUGCCUUCGGGAACUUACAUACAGGUGCUGCAUGGCUGUCGU